Molecule: transfer RNA, 88 nt
Filed under: Actinomycetota bacterium
Lineage: Bacteria; Bacillati; Actinomycetota
Description: tRNA-Arg
Rfam family: tRNA
About the family: Transfer RNA (tRNA) molecules are approximately 80 nucleotides in length.
Source: RNAcentral
GGAGGGGUGGCAGAGUGGCUGAAUGCGACGGUCUCCGUGACCGUGCCGGCUCACCGGCCGGCCGAGGGUUCGAAUCCUUCCCCCUCCG